CCGGCUCCGGUUCACCCUGAUCUGUUUCGGGGACCCGGCGGCC
This 43-nucleotide non-coding RNA is filed under the name Actinokineospora enzanensis DSM 44649. RNAcentral describes it as "L31-Actinobacteria ribosomal protein leader". It matches the Rfam family "L31-Actinobacteria ribosomal protein leader". The record is from RNAcentral. Lineage: Bacteria; Bacillati; Actinomycetota; Actinomycetes; Pseudonocardiales; Pseudonocardiaceae.